Molecule: transfer RNA, 73 nt
Filed under: Ornithorhynchus anatinus (platypus)
Lineage: Eukaryota; Metazoa; Chordata; Mammalia; Monotremata; Ornithorhynchidae
Rfam family: tRNA
About the family: Transfer RNA (tRNA) molecules are approximately 80 nucleotides in length. Their secondary structure includes four short double-helical elements and three loops (D, anti-codon, and T loops).
Source: Rfam by way of RNAcentral
AGCAGAGUGGUUCAGUGGGUAGAGCAUAGGCCCGGGAGUCAGAAGGACCUGGGUUUGAAUCCCAGUUCUGCCA